This 465-nucleotide ribosomal RNA is filed under the name uncultured Streptococcus sp. RNAcentral's name for it is "bacterial SSU rRNA". It matches the Rfam family "Bacterial small subunit ribosomal RNA", at positions 920 to 1382 of the family's 1533-position model. The record is from RNAcentral. Lineage: Bacteria; Bacillati; Bacillota; Bacilli; Lactobacillales; Streptococcaceae.
CCCGCACAAGCAGCGGAGCGUGUGGUUAAUUCGAUGCAACACGAAGAACCUUACCAGGGUUUGACAUACUAGAAGUAGGGACCCGAAAGGGCGACAAACUGUUAAGUCAGUAGCUAGAACAGGUGCUGCAUGGUUGUCGUCAGCUCGUGUCGUGAGAUGUUGGGUUAAGUCCCGCAACGAGCGCAACCCCUAUUGUUAGUUGCCAUCAUUCAGUUGGGCACUCUAGCGAGACUGCCGGUAAUAAACCGGAGGAAGGUGGGGAUGACGUCAAAUCAUCAUGCCCCUUAUGACCUGGGCUACACACGUGCUACAAUGGUUGGUACAACGAGUUGCGAGUCGGUGACGGCGAGCUAAUCUCUUAAAGCCAAUCUCAGUUCGGAUUGUAGGCUGCAACUCGCCUACAUGAAGUCGGAAUCGCUAGUAAUCGCGGAUCAGCACGCCGCGGUGAAUACGUUCCCGGGCCUU